This 261-nucleotide ribosomal RNA is filed under the name uncultured prokaryote. Its description in RNAcentral is "partial 16S ribosomal RNA". It matches the Rfam family "Bacterial small subunit ribosomal RNA", at positions 524 to 784 of the family's 1533-position model. The record is from RNAcentral.
UACGGAGGAUCCUAGUGUUAUCCGGAUUUAUUGGGUUUAAAGGGAGCGUAGGCGGGAGGUCAAGUCAGCUGCGAAAUGUAUCUGCUUAACGGGUACACUGCAGUUGAAACUGGUUUUCUUGAGUGCGUAAGAGGCAGGCGGAAUUCGUUGUGUAGCGGUGAAAUGCUUAGAUAUGACGAGGAACUCCUAUUGCGAAGGCAGCUUGCUGGGUCGUUACUGACGCUGAUGCUCGAAGGUGCGGGGAUCAAACAGGAUUAGAUA